This 559-nucleotide ribosomal RNA is filed under the name uncultured bacterium. RNAcentral describes it as "partial 16S ribosomal RNA". It matches the Rfam family "Bacterial small subunit ribosomal RNA", at positions 355 to 902 of the family's 1533-position model. The record is from RNAcentral.
UGGGGAAUAUUGCACAAUGGGCGCAAGCCUGAUGCAGCCAUGCCGCGUGUGUGAAGAAGGCCUUCGGGUUGUAAAGCACUUUCAGCGAGGAGGAAGGUGGUGAACUUAAUACGUUCAUCAAUUGACGUUACUCGCAGAAGAAGCACCGGCUAACUCCGUGCCAGCAGCCGCGGUAAUACGGAGGGUGCAAGCGUUAAUCGGAAUUACUGGGCGUAAAGCGCACGCAGGCGGUUUGUUAAGUCAGAUGUGAAAUCCCCGGGCUCAACCUGGGAACUGCAUUUGAAACUGGCAAGCUAGAAGUCUCGUAGAGGGGGGUAGAAUUCCAGGUGGUAGCGGUGAAAUGCGUAGAGAUCUGGAGGAAUACCGGUGGCGAAGGCGGCCCCCUGGACGAAGACUGACGCUCAGGUGCGAAAAGCGUGGGGAGCAAACAGGAUUAGAUAACCCUGGUAGUCCACGCUGUAAACGAUGUCGAUUUGGAGGUUGUGCCCUUGAGGCGUGGCUUCCGGAGCUAACGCGUUAAAUCGACCGCCUGGGGAGUACGGCCGCAAGGUUAAAACUU